GGAAUAUUGGUCAAUGGGCGAGAGCCUGAACCAGCCAAGUAGCGUGCAGGAAGACGGCCCUAUGGGUUGUAAACUGCUUUUAUACAGGGAUAAAGUGUGCCACGUGUGGCGUUUUGUAGGUACUGUAUGAAUAAGGACCGGCUAAUUCCGUGCCAGCAGCCGCGGUAAUACGGAAGGUCCGGGCGUUAUCCGGAUUUAUUGGGUUUAAAGGGAGCGCAGGCCGACUGGUAAGCGUGACGUGAAAUGUAGCCGCUCAACGGCUGAACUGCGUCGCGAACUGUCAGUCUUGAGUGAGUUCGAUGUUGGCGGAAUUCGUGGUGUAGCGGUGAAAUGCUUAGAUAUCACGAAGAACUCCGAUUGCGAAGGCAGCCAACAAGGCCUUUACUGACGCUAAAGCUCGAAGGUGCGGGUAUCGAACA
RNAcentral lists this ribosomal RNA (419 nucleotides) under uncultured Prevotella sp. RNAcentral's name for it is "bacterial SSU rRNA". It matches the Rfam family "Bacterial small subunit ribosomal RNA", at positions 358 to 774 of the family's 1533-position model. Lineage: Bacteria; Pseudomonadati; Bacteroidota; Bacteroidia; Bacteroidales; Prevotellaceae. The record is from RNAcentral.